RNAcentral lists this microRNA precursor (145 nucleotides) under Tursiops truncatus (common bottlenose dolphin). Its description in RNAcentral is "miRNA (ENSTTRG00000021528.1)". The stretch from base 46 to 97 matches the Rfam family "mir-1302 microRNA precursor family". The record is from RNAcentral. Lineage: Eukaryota; Metazoa; Chordata; Mammalia; Artiodactyla; Delphinidae.
CAGGAUGCUCAAUUAUAUUUGAAUUUUACAUAAGCAAUGAAUAAUGUUUUAGUAUAAGUAUAUCCCACGGGACAUUUGGGACAUACUUAUACUAAAAUAUUCUUCAUUAUUUAUCUGAAAUUCAAAUUUAACCGAGCAUCUUGUA